Long non-coding RNA from Humulus lupulus (European hop), 346 nucleotides. RefSeq lists it as uncharacterized. The record is from RefSeq and is a predicted model, not a curated record. Lineage: Eukaryota; Viridiplantae; Streptophyta; Magnoliopsida; Rosales; Cannabaceae. The transcript has 3 exons.
UAUACGGUGGAUCUUAUAGCCAAAUGGAUGAUGACUAUGGAUAGACGAGGCCAAAUAUAUUUCAUUCCUUGGAUUGUUGAUCGACAUUGGAUGUUGGUGCUCGUGAUGAUGCGGGGGAUGACCAUAAUUUUGGACCCUUUAAAAAAUCAUAAAUCUCCACCAAUAAUUACGGAGGUUAUGGAAAAAGCAUACGCACAAUGUUUGGAAAAUGAAUACAUCGGCACAUUUACAAAAUUGGUGAGAGGUUCUUGUCCAAAACAACCUGAAAGUCAUGAAUGUGGUUAUUAUGUACUAAGAUACAUUUAUGAUCUUGUAAAUGCACCGAAUCCAGCAGAAGUUAUCAAGA